GCGCUACACUGAUGCAUUCAACAAGCCUAUCCCUAGCCGAAAGGCUCGGGUAAUCUUUGAAACUGCAUCGUGAUGGGGAUAGAUUAUUGCAAUUAUUAGUCUUCAACGAGGAAUGCCUAGUAAGCGCAAUUCAUCAGAUUGCGUUGAUUACGUCCCUGCCCUUUGUACACACCGCCCGUCGCUCCUACCGAUUGGGUGUGCUGGUGAAGUGUUCGGAUUGGCUGUUGAAGGUGGCAACACCGUCGAUUGCCGAGAAGUUCAUUAAACCCUCCCACCUAGAGGAAGGAGAAGUCGUAACAAGGUUUCCGUAGGUGAACCUGCGGAAGGAUCAUUGAAUAUGCAAACCACAACACGCACUCCCUAUUUGUGUACCGACGUUAGGUCAACACACGCAAGUGUGUGGCCUACUAACCUACACACCAUUGACCAACCAAUAAUCAAACCAAACUCUGAAGCUUUGGCUGCUGUUAAUCGGCAGUUUUAACAAAGAACAACUCUCAACAACGGAUAUCUUGGCUCUCGCAACGAUGAAGAACGCAGCGAAAUGCGAUACGUAGUGUGAAUUGCAGAAUUCCGUGAACCAUCGAAUCUUUGAACGCAUAUUGCGCUCGACCCCCCGGGGAAGAGCAUGUCUGCCUCAGCGUCGGUUUACACCCUCACCCCACUUACUUCACAGUAAGCGCUUGCUGCGUUGUAUGACCAGCAACUGGGAUGGAUCUGGCCCUCCCAAUUGAAGCAAUUCGUUUGGGUUGGCUGAAGCACAGAGGCUUAAACUGGGACCCGUACCGGGCUCAACUGGAUAGGUAGCAACACCUUCGGGUGCCUACACGAAGUUGUGUCUGAGGACCUGGUUAGGAGCCAAGCAGGAAACAUGGAAACAUGUACUCUGUAUUCGACCUGAGCUCAGGCAAGGCUACCCGCUGAACUUAAGCAUAUCACUAAGCGGAGGAAAAGAAACUAACAAGGAUGCGCUUAGUAACGGCGAGCGAACCGCGCAAAGCCCAACUUGAAAAUCUCCUUCGGAGAAUUGUAGUCUAUAGAAGUACCCUCUGCAACGGGCUGAGCUAAAGUCUCCUGGAAAGGGGCGUCAGAGAGGGUGAGAACCCCGUAAGCUCACGCUUAGUUGCCUCACGAGGUGCUUUCGAAGAGUCGGGUUGCUUGGGAAUGCAGCCCAAAUUUGGUGGUAAUCCC
This 1191-nucleotide small RNA is filed under the name Desmodesmus spinosus. RNAcentral's name for it is "eukaryotic LSU rRNA". The stretch from base 1 to 334 matches the Rfam family "Eukaryotic small subunit ribosomal RNA", at positions 1495 to 1831 of the family's 1831-position model. Lineage: Eukaryota; Viridiplantae; Chlorophyta; Chlorophyceae; Sphaeropleales; Scenedesmaceae. The record is from RNAcentral.